This 245-nucleotide long non-coding RNA is filed under the name Capsicum annuum. Its description in RNAcentral is "long non-coding RNA (CANN_LNC010778)". The record is from RNAcentral. Lineage: Eukaryota; Viridiplantae; Streptophyta; Magnoliopsida; Solanales; Solanaceae.
UCUUUGACAACCUCAGGAUGGUAGGCUGGGGAUUUGAGUUCCUCAACACAUUGCAAAGCUUCUGCCAGAAUCCGAACGCUGAAAUAUUCCUCCAGAAGAGAUAUUGUCUCUCUCUUUAGUUCAGGUGUCGAACGAGCAGCAGGAGCCUGUGGUUUUUCAGCAGAUGGAGAAACAACGGUUGCUGGAGGAGGUCUAACUGGUCCGUGAACCUGUGAUGCAGGCUCCAUGCCAAAACCAUAGCUCAA